This 515-nucleotide ribosomal RNA is filed under the name uncultured Glomus. RNAcentral's name for it is "SSU rRNA". It matches the Rfam family "Eukaryotic small subunit ribosomal RNA", at positions 569 to 1085 of the family's 1831-position model. The record is from RNAcentral. Lineage: Eukaryota; Fungi; Glomeromycota; Glomeromycetes; Glomerales; Glomeraceae.
AGCAGCCGCGGUAAUUCCAGCUCCAAUAGCGUAUAUUAAAGUUGUUGCAGUUAAAAAGCUCGUAGUUGAAUUUCGGGAUCAGUUUGUUGGUCGUGCUUCGGUACGUACUGUCAUUACUGGUUUCUACCUUCUGAAGAACCUUGAUGUCAUUAAUUUGGUGUCUUGGGGAAUCAGGACUGUUACUUUGAAAAAAUUAGAGUGUUUAAAGCAAGCAUACGCUUGAAUACAUUAGCAUGGAAUAAUGAAAUAGGACGUUUGAUUCUAUUUUGUUGGUUUCUAGGAUCGAUGUAAUGAUUAAUAGGGAUAGUUGGGGGCAUUAGUAUUCAAUUGUCAGAGGUGAAAUUCUUGGAUUUAUUGAAGACUAACUACUGCGAAAGCAUUUGCCAGGGAUGUUUUCAUUAAUUCAAGAACGAAAGUUAGGGGAUCGAAGACGAUCAGAUACCGUCGUAGUCUUAACCAUAAACUAUGCCGACUAGGGAUCGGAUGAUGUUAAUUUUAUAAUGACUCAUUCGUAC